RNAcentral lists this ribosomal RNA (352 nucleotides) under uncultured bacterium. Its description in RNAcentral is "bacterial SSU rRNA". It matches the Rfam family "Bacterial small subunit ribosomal RNA", at positions 527 to 881 of the family's 1533-position model. The record is from RNAcentral.
GUAUGGAGCAAGCGUUGUCCGGAUUUACUGGGUGUAAAGGGAGCGUAGAUGGAUGUUUAAGUCAGUUGUGAAAGUUUGCGGCUCAACCGUAAAAUUGCAGUUGAUACUGGAUAUCUUGAGUGCAGUUGAGGCAGGCGGAAUUCGUGGUGUAGCGGUGAAAUGCUUAGAUAUCACGAAGAACUCCGAUUGCGAAGGCAGCCUGCUAAGCUGCAACUGACAUUGAGGCUCGAAAGUGUGGGUAUCAAACAGGAUUAGAUACCCUGGUAGUCCACACGGUAAACGAUGAAUACUCGCUGUUUGCGAUAUACUGCAAGCGGCCAAGCGAAAGCGUUAAGUAUUCCACCUGGGGAGU